Molecule: ribosomal RNA, 259 nt
Filed under: uncultured bacterium
Lineage: Bacteria
Description: partial 16S ribosomal RNA
Rfam family: Bacterial small subunit ribosomal RNA
Source: RNAcentral
ACUCCUACGGGAGGCAGCAGUGGGAAUAUUGGACAAUGGGGCACCGUAGCAUCCAGCCAUGCCGCGUGAGUGAUGAAGGCCUUAGGGUCGUAAAGCUCUUUCGCCUGUGAAGAUAAUGACGGUAGCAGGUAAAGAAACCCCGCGUACAUCCGUGCCAGCAGCCGCGGUAAUACGGAGGGGGUUAGCGUUGUUCGGAAUUACUGGGCGUAAAGCGCACGUAGGCGGAUCGGAAAGUUGGGGGUGAAAUCCCGGGGCUCAA